Acinonyx jubatus (cheetah) is the source of this 1177-nucleotide long non-coding RNA. RefSeq lists it as uncharacterized. The record is from RefSeq and is a predicted model, not a curated record. NCBI's taxonomy places the organism in Eukaryota, Metazoa, Chordata, Mammalia, Carnivora, Felidae. The transcript has 4 exons.
UUGGAGUCUUAACCAACUGGCAGCCCUACCAGACUUUUUAAUUAAUUGGUUACUAAGUGUCAAGGCACUAUGAAAUUCUAAGGUAUCCAAGUAAACUCAAUAGAUAUAUAACAUGGAUCUCAGAAUGUAUGGUCAAUGUAAUCAUAAUGUAGGAAGUGGUAUAUAUUCUCCUAUACUGAGAAGAUUUCAUGAUGUGGGCACUUGUACCAAAUUUAGGAUAAUACUGCCUGGGAAGAUCAUCAAAUGUCAAAGUCUAGGGAUGGGAGAACAUGGAGACAUCCUACUAAAUCAUACAAUGACUAAAGCUUGUGAUAGACAUUUAUCAAUCCACCAUGGGAUGCCUGCUGUGACAAGCUGUCUUCAGGAACGGAGGAUUUGCGAAGAUAAAGUUACACUGGGUUUGCUCUAUAAAAGGAAAGCCAAAUGAAAACUUCAGCACUAUGCUUUGGAGACCAUUUUAAACAGUAAAAUCACCAAGAAGAAGCAUAAAAUUGCAAAUAAUGUGGCACCAAAUAAACGGCAAAGAAGAUAAUCAGAAGGAGAGCUGAAACAAGAAAACAGAACAUCAUCUUGUUUGACCUCCAUUGGGAACCUGCUCUAAAGCAGUCUUUUCCAGGCAGGUGGCCGAAGAGGUAGCAGUGACGGGGUCCAGGUGUCCUAGAAGAAAGCAAACAUUCAUGUUGUGAAUUGCCCUUGGCGGCCACACGGUAGAGAGCUACAGGCAGCAUGGAGGAGCUGAGAGCUAACCCCAGACAACUGCUAGAAGGAUAACAGGGCCUCAGUCCUAAACUUGUGAGGAAAUGAAGUCUGCCAACAACCAGUGAACUUGGAAGACAAUUCUGAGCCAAGAUGAGAACUAUAACUCAAGCCAACAUUUUGAUUUCAGCUCAUGAGACCCUGAGCAGAGAAAUCCAGCCACACCAUGUCCAGACUUGUGACCUACAGAACCUCUGAGGUAAUAAAUUUGUGUUGACAGAAGCUACUCCAUUUGUGGUCUUUCGUUACACAGGAACAGUAAACUCGUAAAACCCAGGAAAUUUGUCAUUUGAAGUUCACCAAAAUCGAGCGUCAAAGGAAAGCUUCCCAAAGUUUCUCCUGAAGGAAGCGUCAAGGAAGGUACAAGUUUCAGGUUCAGUAGACAUUAUCCAACCUAAUCCAGUGAAGGUCACUGAUGGUC